ACUCUGGGAGGCUGUGCCUGGGCGUGCAGUCCUUCCAAGAACUGGGUCACAUUUCUAGCCAUUGCAAAAAUCUUCCACUAUUUUCAAUUCUUAGUUCUGCCAACCAUGCAAAAGAAGAGACAUUCCAAACAAAGUAUCCAACAGACAGUAUGCAACAGCAUCAUAUCUGUUUGUCCUCAUGAGGAACAAGGAAAGAUAAGGAAGAUGCAGGUAAGCAGUUAUCACAUUCUGCUGGAAGGGACCAUACUACCAAAAAAUAGAUCUAGAGAACAUGACCAUAACAUGCCUUUUGCUGGAUGGACAUGUUACUUAGAAGUUGAAUUAUUGUUCUUUGACAGUUUUUGCUUUGAUAGGCAUUCCUGGACUCAUUGCAUGAUGUCUAGAAUUUCAGCUCCCACUUCUGAAAUAUGGUAUAUUAUCAGAACAACCUCAAGGAUAAUCAUUCUACUUUACUAAAGAAUUUGAGAUUUCAAAAUCUGACUUAAUUUCAAAUUGGGC
This 498-nucleotide long non-coding RNA is filed under the name Anas platyrhynchos platyrhynchos (common mallard). Its description in RNAcentral is "lncRNA (ENSAPLG00000023246.1)". The record is from RNAcentral. Lineage: Eukaryota; Metazoa; Chordata; Aves; Anseriformes; Anatidae.